UACGUAGGGAGCAAGCGUUGUCCGGAAUCAUUGGGCGUAAAGCGCGCGUAGGCGGCCUGUUGCGUCCGCUGUGAAAUCCCGGGGCUCAACCCCGGGCCUGCAGUGGAUACGGGCUGGCUAGAGGCAGGCAGGGGAGAACGGAAUUCCUGGUGUAGCGGUGAAAUGCGCAGAUAUCAGGAGGAACACCAGUGGCGAAGGCGGCUUCCUGGACACCAACUGACGCUGAGACGCGAAAGCGUGGGGAGCAAACAGG
RNAcentral lists this ribosomal RNA (253 nucleotides) under uncultured bacterium. RNAcentral's name for it is "partial 16S ribosomal RNA". It matches the Rfam family "Bacterial small subunit ribosomal RNA", at positions 524 to 776 of the family's 1533-position model. The record is from RNAcentral.